This 500-nucleotide ribosomal RNA is filed under the name uncultured bacterium. Its description in RNAcentral is "partial 16S ribosomal RNA". It matches the Rfam family "Bacterial small subunit ribosomal RNA", at positions 28 to 523 of the family's 1533-position model. The record is from RNAcentral.
GAUGAAUGCUAGCGGCAGGCUUAAUACAUGCAAGUCGUGGGGCAGCAUGAGUAGCAAUACUUGAUGGCGACCGGCAAACGGGUGCGGAACACGUACACAACCUUCCGAUAAGUGGGGAAUAGCCCAGAGAAAUUUGGAUUAAUACCCCGUAACAUAUAGAGUAGGUAUCUUCUUUAUAUUAUAGCUUCGGCGCUUAUUGAUGGGUGUGCGUCUGAUUAGGUAGUUGGCGGGGUAACGGCCCACCAAGCCUACGAUCAGUAGCUGAUGUGAGAGCAUGAUCAGCCACACGGGCACUGAGACACGGGCCCGACUCCUACGGGAGGCAGCAGUAAGGAAUAUUGGACAAUGGGCGAAAGCCUGAUCCAGCCAUGCCGCGUGAAGGAUUAAGGUCCUCUUGAUUGUAAACUUCUUUUAUUUGGGACGAAAAAAGGGAAUUCUUUCCCACUUGACGGUACCAAGUGAAUAAGCACCGGCUAACUCCGUGCCAGCCGCCGCAGUAA